CAGCAGCCGCGGUAAUACCGGCGGCCCGAGUGGCGGUCACUAUUAUUGGGCUUAAAGCGUCCGUAGCCGGGUUGGGAAGUCCUCCGGGAAAUCUGGCCGCUUAACGGUCAGAAUGCCGGAGGAUACUCCCAGCCUAGGGAGCGGGCGAGGCCGAGGGGAUUCCCGGGGUAGGGGUGAAAUCCUAUAAUCCCGGGAGGACCACCUGUGGCGAAGGCGCUCGGCUGGAACGCGUCCGACGGUGAGGGACGAAGGCCAGGGGAGCAAACCGGAUUAGAUACCCGGGUAGUCCUGGCUGUAAACGAUGCGGACUUUGUGUCGGACAAGCUAUGAGCUUGUCCGGUGCCGGAGGGAAACCGUUAAGUCCGCCGCCUGGGGAGUACGGCCGCAAGGCUGAAACUUAAAGGAAUUGGCGGG
This 414-nucleotide ribosomal RNA is filed under the name uncultured microorganism. Its description in RNAcentral is "bacterial SSU rRNA". It matches the Rfam family "Archaeal small subunit ribosomal RNA", at positions 459 to 872 of the family's 1478-position model. The record is from RNAcentral.